AGGAAUCUGCCUAUUAGUGGGGGACAACAUUCCGAAAGGAAUGCUAAUACCGCAUACGUCCUACGGGAGAAAGCAGGGGAUCUUCGGACCUUGCGCUAAUAGAUGAGCCUAAGUCGGAUUAGCUAGUUGGUGGGGUAAAGGCCUACCAAGGCGACGAUCUGUAGCGGGUCUGGGAGGAUGAUCCGCCACACUGGGACUGAGACACGGCCCAGACUCCUACGGGAGGCAGCAGUGGGGAAUAUUGGACAAUGGGGGGAACCCUGAUCCAGCCAUGCCGCGUGUGUGAAGAAGGCCUUAUGGUUGUAAAGCACUUUAAGCGAGGAGGAGGCUACUGAGACUAAUACUCUUGGAUAGUGGACGUUACUCGCAGAAUAAGCACCGGCUAACUCUGUGCCAGCAGCCGCGGUAAUACAGAGGGUGCGAGCGUUAAUCGGAUUUACUGGGCGUAAAGCGUGCGUAGGCGGCUUUUUAAGUCGGAUGUGAAAUCCCCGAGCUUAACUUGGGAAUUGCAUUCGAUACUGGGAAGCUAGAGUAUGGGAGAGGAUGGUAGAAUUCCAGGU
This 560-nucleotide ribosomal RNA is filed under the name uncultured bacterium. Its description in RNAcentral is "bacterial SSU rRNA". It matches the Rfam family "Bacterial small subunit ribosomal RNA", at positions 119 to 674 of the family's 1533-position model. The record is from RNAcentral.